UUCUUUGUAGCUUAUUGUAUUAAAGCGUGAGGUUUUUAACCUUAAAAAGCAGUUGUUGUCAAAGAAU
RNAcentral lists this transfer RNA (67 nucleotides) under Meretrix meretrix (Asiatic hard clam). RNAcentral describes it as "tRNA-Lys". It matches the Rfam family "tRNA". Rfam says of the family: Transfer RNA (tRNA) molecules are approximately 80 nucleotides in length. The record is from RNAcentral. Lineage: Eukaryota; Metazoa; Mollusca; Bivalvia; Venerida; Veneridae.